This 421-nucleotide unclassified non-coding RNA is filed under the name Hevea brasiliensis (rubber tree). Lineage: Eukaryota; Viridiplantae; Streptophyta; Magnoliopsida; Malpighiales; Euphorbiaceae. The record is from RNAcentral.
UACUUUUAUGGCCAAUCAUUUUGACAGGCACUACUGCGGUAAGUGUGGCCUCACUUACGUUUACCAGAAGGCCGGCGGUGACUGAUCUUAAGUAUCGUCCUGAGGAAGCAUAGAGAAAUUUCGUUUUGAGUAUUAUCUUCUUUUGACCUCGUUGUUGAACUUGCUAUCAUGUCUGUUAUUUUUUAUGGUCUAUUUGGCUACGUUGAAUGAUAAUUUUUGCAGUUUAAUGGUCAAUUUGGAUUUUACUUUACCUUUCAAUCUAUAUUGCUUGCUUGAUAGUUAAUAUGAAUUAAUGGUUUAGAAUUUUUAGAUGCUUGCCCUGGAAUUGUUAGCAAUUUCUGGUUUCAUUGUCAGUUUUAUUAUUGCAAUCCAUAUUGUGCACUAAAGAAGAAUCACACAUUACUUUUUAUUUUUAAUUGGG